Astatotilapia calliptera (eastern happy) is the source of this 872-nucleotide long non-coding RNA. The record is from Ensembl. Lineage: Eukaryota; Metazoa; Chordata; Actinopteri; Cichliformes; Cichlidae.
AGGACGGUGUGUGUGUGCGCAGACGAGCUGUGUUUGACUCCACUGAGCCCAAAGGGUUUCGGAGGGUGGAGUGACUCAUAUCUCACCCUUGGGCUCUGACUCUCAAAAUGCAUUUAUUCCGCUUUUCCCUUCUAACCUUUUUUUUUUCUCCAGUGUUCGUUUUUAUAUCUCAUCAGCAAACUUCACUGCGAUCUGAACUCGGGAGCGAUUUAAAAUCAUCUUUCCACAUCAUGUUGAGUGUAAGAAGAGGGAGGGGGAGUGGGGAUGACGAAAAGCGAGACAGACAGGCAGACAGACGAGCAACGGCGAGGGCAGAGAAUGGAGCAAUUGCUAAAGGCUCAUUCAUUCUGACAGUGUUCAUGGCACCAGUCAGAGCGUCCCAAAAGACAGAAGGAGGAUGGACCAGACCUCUGACACACAGACAGCCUGUCCUCGCUGACCGGCUUCACCUCAUCUGAACAGGCGGUCGCACUGGGAGACUUAUCCGGGUUCUGAGGAGAGGGUUGAUACGACAGCCACAUAGUUUUACAAUUUGCAUUCGAGCAGCCUGAGCAUUUUCAUAACCUUUUCAUGUCAUUUGCCUAUAUUUUGUUUUUCUGAUGACUUUCCGUCUGAAUUCAAUCGCCAAACCACAACAACAGCCGCCUCAAGGCGUUUUAUAUUGUAAGGUAGACCCUACAAUAAUACAUACAGGAAGAAACCUCUGGCAGAACCAGACUCAGGGAGGGGCGGGGCCAUCUACCGUGACCGGUUGAGUCGAGGAGCGUAUUAGGUCACAUUUCACUGUGUGUUAUACUCGUAUAACUAUUCACGUGACAAAUAAAAGAUCUUGAAUCUUGAAAAAUAAAUAUGACUGAAUAUUACACAAGCAC